AUCCCGACAUUCUUUAUCGCCGCCGAAUCCUCGGGGGCUUUAGGUGGGAGGAGGGCCGUAGUCCCUGAUCCUGCUUGAAACAGUGAAAGGAAGUUGAAAUCCUUACAAUAAUAAAAGUUUCAAUCAGCUGAUGCAGUAUUGUCACAAUAUAACUUUAUUAUUUAGUUUGGUUUUGUUACACAUCAAUCCCUGACAAUGAAGAACCAUGAGCGUGCAGCAAAUGUCGCUCUUUUAGGUCUGACUUUGGCACCACUUUUCAUUAAGGUAAAUCCAAAUAUAAAUGUAAUAUUGUCAGCUUGCUUGACUGUAUAUGUUGGGUGCUACAGAUCAGUCAAACCCACACCACCAUCUG
Molecule: long non-coding RNA, 352 nt
Organism: Phalaenopsis equestris
Lineage: Eukaryota; Viridiplantae; Streptophyta; Magnoliopsida; Asparagales; Orchidaceae
Exons: 3
Source: RefSeq, a predicted model, not a curated record